Molecule: ribosomal RNA, 263 nt
Filed under: uncultured archaeon
Lineage: Archaea
Description: partial 16S ribosomal RNA
Rfam family: Archaeal small subunit ribosomal RNA
Source: RNAcentral
CAGCCGUAAACUAUGCGCGUUAGGUGUAUCGGUGACCACGAGUUACCGAGGUGCCGAAGGGAAACCGUGAAACGUGCCGCCUGGGAAGUACGGUCGCAAGGCUGAAACUUAAAGGAAUUGGCGGGGGGAGCACAACAACGGGUGGAGCCUGCGGUUUAAUUGGACUCAACGCCGGACAACUCACCGGGGACGACAGCAAUAUGUAGGCCAGGCUGAAGACCUUGCCUGAAUCGCUGAGAGGAGGUGCAUGGCGUAGACGUCUU